This 427-nucleotide ribosomal RNA is filed under the name uncultured bacterium. RNAcentral's name for it is "partial 16S ribosomal RNA". It matches the Rfam family "Bacterial small subunit ribosomal RNA", at positions 355 to 774 of the family's 1533-position model. The record is from RNAcentral.
UGGGGAAUAUUGCACAAUGGGCGCAAGCCUGAUGCAGCCAUGCCGCGUGUAUGAAGAAGGCCUUCGGGUUGUAAAGUACUUUCAGCGAGGAGGAAGGCGAUGCGGUUAAUAACCGUGUCGAUUGACGUUACUCGCAGAAGAAGCACCGGCUAACUCCGUGCCAGCAGCCGCGGUAAUACGGAGGGUGCAAGCGUUAAUCGGAAUUACUGGGCGUAAAGCGCACGCAGGCGGUCUGUCAAGUCGGAUGUGAAAGCCCCGGGCUCAACCUGGGAGCUGCAUUCGAAACUGGCAGGCUUGAGUCUUGUAGAGGGGGGUAGAAUUCCAGGUGUAGCGGUGAAAUGCGUAGAGAUCUGGAGGAAUACCGGUGGCGAAGGCGGCCCCCUGGACAAAGACUGACGCUCAGGUGCGAAAGCGUGGGGAGCAAACA